This is a long non-coding RNA of Patiria miniata (bat star), 1215 nucleotides long. RefSeq lists it as uncharacterized. NCBI's taxonomy places the organism in Eukaryota, Metazoa, Echinodermata, Asteroidea, Valvatida, Asterinidae. The record is from RefSeq and is a predicted model, not a curated record. The transcript has 3 exons.
UCCUGAGCUGAAGAUUACUAAGAUUUCUUCAUAGUGGAGUUAGCUGAAUUGUCCAUUGAGAAAAGUUUACUACAAAGCCAAACAGGAAGUGUAUGAUACAGACCAAAGUCCACAUGUACACAUGUGUUACAUCAUCAAGAGUAUCAUCUUACUUAGCCUCAAGGCUGGCCCUGCACUGCAGCAUGGGCCUCAAGUCACAUGACACAGUGACCUUGCAUACCAGAGAUAAACAGUUAGUGUGGGAAAUUUGAAAACUGCUACAGUCAGUUGAAUGCCUGUGCAGCUAGCCAGUAGGCCCACACCAUGCCCACACAUUGCAAGAGGGCAGAAAUUGUAUAAAACUGGAUAAAAAUCAUAGAUAAAUGCAUGCCUUUGGACAUAAUUUACUAAUGAUGUACCCACUCAACCUGUACAUGACCUGUAAGAAACUGGAUGUUUGGCUGGUUGAGUCUUUGAAGUGGACACGGUGCACUCACAACUGAAGGCUACCGUCUGACGGUGUCGUGCGUGUCAACACGCUGGACAAGCUAUUUGUAUGUGCUCAGAUUUGGAUAGCUUGUCAACGUCAUGCUGCAGGGGGCAGAAGGGGACAGACGACAGCCAUGUAGCCCUGCCAGAGAUGGUUAUUUUACCUGUUAAGAGUUUCAUCUAUCGACUAGUCAUUGACAGCAAAAUUUCCCCAGGAGGCGGAUGUUACAAGGGUUAUCAAUAGUGCUUGCUGAAACGCCAGAUGGGCAUCCAAUGGAAAUUCCUCAGCUGAGUAGAAUUUGCAAAGAGUAUACCCCCCACCCCCAAAAAAUAGGAAAUAUAUUUGUUCUUUUAUUAAUCUUACCUGGAGAACAGUCAACCUUAUCAAUUAAAAACACUUGUUGCAUUAAAUCUCUAGCUAGUAGGAGUAAAUCCCUAGUAUAAUAAACAUCCACUACAUCUUGUUAAGGUCAAUUUGAAGGGUCCUCCAAUUACUUAUCCUUGACUUCCAGCCAUUUUAAAACCUACAUUGCCUUUAAAAAUUGUCAUUUUGUAUACCAUAGUUUUUCCUUUUAUCCGUGUUCAUUUUUUUUCGUUUUAAUUUUUUUAAUUUUAAUAGAAAAUCUCAAUUUGUCAUUUAAGUGAUGCAGAUUUAAUGCACAAGUGUAACAAAAACAUAACCCAUUGAUGCAACAAAGAAUAUAAUAAAGGAAGCAGCAAUGGCUGAACUUCUGAAUUUCAAUUUAA